ACCAUAACCUCAUCGGCGUGAAACGCCAGGGGGAUGUGUACCUAGCUAGUGACGUCAUGUCACCAAGGUGUUCACCCCACCCCGUCCAAGGCGCCCUUGAACGUGACGUCACCUCUGCCUGGGUCGCUGCCGUUUUCUGUUCAAGUAGAAUCAUAUUUGGGCAAGGUCACGCCCAGUGACUGGCGGCUCAUUAACAUAAUCUAUUCAUGUACUGAGGCGCUUAUUGUGGGAGGGGAGUGUUAUCGUUCCCCACAAGUGACGUCAUGUCACCUCUUGCUGCCGCGUGACAUCACGAGAUAACAGAAAGCUGCUGCUCCACCUGUGCACUGAAAUCCGAGGCCAAGCCCGCUUGAGCUGCUGUGCCGCUUUUGUUUUCAGAAGCGACCUGCCCACAACACAACACAAGCUGUCGCUUCCUCUGCAGAAUUGGUCUGAUGAAGCAAAGGCACUCGGCGCGGCUCGGUGCAUAUAGCACGGAUCGUCCUGCACAUUUGAAAUGGCACCAGAGAACACACACGGGAGAGAAACCCUUCAAGUGCAGUGUGUGUGGGAAGGCGUUUGCACAGUCAUCAAAUCUUAAUGUACACCAGAGAACCCACACGGGAGAGAAACCCUUCAAG
This is a non-coding RNA of Petromyzon marinus (sea lamprey), 620 nucleotides long. The record is from RefSeq and is a predicted model, not a curated record. Lineage: Eukaryota; Metazoa; Chordata; Hyperoartia; Petromyzontiformes; Petromyzontidae.